RNAcentral lists this ribosomal RNA (483 nucleotides) under uncultured bacterium. RNAcentral describes it as "partial 16S ribosomal RNA". It matches the Rfam family "Bacterial small subunit ribosomal RNA", at positions 30 to 506 of the family's 1533-position model. The record is from RNAcentral.
AUUGAACGCUGGCGGCAGGCCUAACACAUGCAAGUCGAGCGGAUGAAGGGAGCUUGCUCCUGGAUUCAGCGGCGGACGGGUGAGUAAUGCCUAGGAAUCUGCCUGGUAGUGGGGGAUAACGUCCGGAAACGGGCGCUAAUACCGCAUACGUCCUGAGGGAGAAAGUGGGGGAUCUUCGGACCUCACGCUAUCAGAUGAGCCUAGGUCGGAUUAGCUAGUUGGUGGGGUAAAGGCCUACCAAGGCGACGAUCCGUAACUGGUCUGAGAGGAUGAUCAGUCACACUGGAGCUGAGACACGAUCCAGAGUCCUACGGGAGGCAGCAGUGGGGACUAUUGGACGAUGGGCGAAAGCCUGAUCCAGCCAUGCAGCGUGUGUGAAGAAGGGCUUCGGAUUGUAAAGCACUUUAAGUUGGGAGGAAGGGCAGUAAGUUAAAACCUUGCUGUUUGGACGUUACCAACAGAAUAAGCACCGGCUAACUUCGU